Non-coding RNA from Mustela putorius furo (domestic ferret), 47 nucleotides. The record is from Rfam. Lineage: Eukaryota; Metazoa; Chordata; Mammalia; Carnivora; Mustelidae.
AAUAUGGAUUUAUUUGAAUCCAUUUAAAAUAUUACAUAACAAAGUGU